GCCGAAGCUCGAUCUGUUAGUGCGCAUUUUGUGCUUCAUGUGUCCAUUAUACGGAUCGUAUAAUUAUUGUUUUAAUCGAUUUCUGAUCUAUUAAGAAUUGUUGUAAUAAUAUUCCUUAACUUUCGUACCCCUUUGUCUUGAUCGAUCUUUAAUUCUUUUCCAUCCUCCUCCCCUUUACCACCGCGUUCAAACGCGAUCUUCCUAGUUCGAAACUCGUUCGUGAUAGCAAACGAUUUUGUUUCAACUAAUUUUCUCGGAUUUUUAAAUCAAAAUAAAUAAUAAGAAUAAGAUCGCGCGGUAAAACAACGUCAACCGUAAAUUUCUGAUUCUUCUGCUUUUGUGUGGUUAAAAAGCAAAAACACCCAGUUGUUUGCAAGAUGCCUCUAUCGGAAUUUCGCAAGAAGAAGCUGCUUUACGUCUUCAACGCCUUUUUCGAUGUUAACCAGAGCGGUGCCAUCGAUAAGAAAGAUUUCGAUCUGGCUGUACAGCGGAUCUGCAAUUCCAGACAUUGGAGUGCCGAUAAUCCGAAAACAACGCAGACGAAGGAUACCUUGUUGAAAAUAUGGGAAGGCUUGCAACAACGAGCCGAUUCUGAUCAAGAUGGACAAAUCAGCCGAGACGAGUGGUAUUCUAUGUGGGAAGAUUACGCUAAGGAUCCAGCUAACGCACAUGAUUGGCAACAAACGUACAUGAAAUUUAUGUUCGAUCUUGAGGAUUCCUCCGGUGACGGAUCAAUCGAUGAGAACGAGUUUAGCAACGUUUGUCACAGUCAUGGCGUACAGGAGACUGAGGCUCGUGAUGCUUUCAAAAAAAUGGGGGUGGGUAAAGAAGUAACACGGGACAAGUUCUAUGAGCUUUGGAAACAAUACUUCACCUCUGACGAUCCCAACGCACCUGGAAACUUUAUAUUCGGAAAGACCUCGUUCUAACCGUCCUUUCGCUUCGGAUUCUUACACGACAUUUAUUAUUAUUAUUAUUAUUAUUAUUAUCUUUUCGUUAUCAGCACGUCGAAAUAUAUUGCAUAGAGCUGAAAGAUAUCUCUUAUAUGAGAAGAAGGAUGGUAAUGAGGAAAAAAAGAAAAAAAAAAUUAUGAUAUCAUAAUAAUUGUUAAUAUCUCGUUGUUUAAUUGGUAAUAAUCGUUGAUAACGCUAUUAAUCGCCGUUAACACCGAAACUAAAUAUUGCGUAAUGUUCUAUAACGUGUUGUUGUAAAUUUAGUUAAAACGAUUUCGAUUCUAUGCGAAUCGUUCUGUGUAAUGUCGUAAAACCAAAACGUAUUAAGAGUUUUAAUAGUUUCUAUAUGUUUGAAUAAACUCAUUUAAUUCAACGAA
This 1330-nucleotide unclassified non-coding RNA is filed under the name Polistes canadensis. Its description in RNAcentral is "calexcitin-2, transcript variant X1". Lineage: Eukaryota; Metazoa; Arthropoda; Insecta; Hymenoptera; Vespidae. The record is from RNAcentral.